UACGAAGGGGGCUAGCGUUGCUCGGAAUUACUGGGCGUAAAGGGCGCGUAGGCGGCCUGCUAAGUCAUACGUGAAAUCCCUCGGCUCAACCGAGGAACUGCGUCUGAUACUGGUUGGCUUGAAUUCGGGAGAGGGAUGCGGAAUUCCAGGUGUAGCGGUGAAAUGCGUAGAUAUCUGGAGGAACACCGGUGGCGAAGGCGGCAUCCUGGACCGAGAUUGACGCUGAUGCGCGAAAGCCAGGGGAGCAAACGGG
This 253-nucleotide ribosomal RNA is filed under the name uncultured bacterium. RNAcentral's name for it is "partial 16S ribosomal RNA". It matches the Rfam family "Bacterial small subunit ribosomal RNA", at positions 524 to 776 of the family's 1533-position model. The record is from RNAcentral.